Molecule: ribosomal RNA, 552 nt
Filed under: Hydora musci
Lineage: Eukaryota; Metazoa; Arthropoda; Insecta; Coleoptera; Elmidae
Description: partial large subunit ribosomal RNA
Rfam family: Bacterial large subunit ribosomal RNA
Source: RNAcentral
UUUAACCUGCCCGCUGAAUAAUUGAAUGGCCGCGGUAUUUUGACCGUGCAAAGGUAGCAUAAUAAUUAGUUUUUUGAUUGAAAGCUGGAAUGAAUGGUUGGACGAGAAAAUUACUGUCUCUGAUUAAAUUUUGAUAAAACUUUAUUUUUAAGUUAAAAAGCUUAAAUGUUGUUAAAAGACGAGAAGACCCUAUAGAGUUUUAUAAUUUUUUAAUAAUAUAAUUUUAGGUAUUUGAAUUUUGUUUUUAAAAUAUUAUUUUAUUGGGGUGAUAGAAAGAUUAAAUAAACUCUUUUUUUAUUUAAACAUUUAUAUAUGAUUAUUUGAUCCAUUUUUUAUGAUUAUAAGAAUAAAUUACCUUAGGGAUAACAGCGUAAUCUUUUUAGAGAGUUCUUAUCGAAAUAAGGGAUUGCGACCUCGAUGUUGGAUUAAAGUUAAUUUUUGGUGUAGAAGCUUGAAAAUUGAGUCUGUUCGACUUUUAAAACUUUACAUGAUCUGAGUUUAAACCGGUGUGAGCCAGGUUGGUUUCUAUCUUUAUUAAAUUAAAAUGUCUUA